ACGCUGGCGGCAUGCCUAACACAUGCAAGUCGAACGAAGGCUUCGGCCUUAGUGGCGCACGGGUGCGUAACGCGUGGGAAUCUGCCCCUUGGUUCGGAAUAACAGUUGGAAACGACUGCUAAUACCGGAUGACGACGUAAGUCCAAAGAUUUAUCGCCGAGGGAUGAGCCCGCGUAGGAUUAGGUAGUUGGUGUGGUAAAGGCGCACCAAGCCGACGAUCCUUAGCUGGUCUGAGAGGAUGAUCAGCCACACUGGGACUGAGACACGGCCCAGACUCCUACGGGAGGCAGCAGUGGGGAAUAUUGGACAAUGGGCGAAAGCCUGAUCCAGCAAUGCCGCGUGAGUGAUGAAGGCCUUAGGGUUGUAAAGCUCUUUUACCCGGGAUGAUAAUGACAGUACCGGGAGAAUAAGCUCCGGCUAACUCCGUGCCAGCAGCCGCGGUAAUACGGAGGGAGCUAGCGUUAUUCGGAAUUACUGGGCGUAAAGCGCACGUAGGCGGCUUUGUAAGUAAGAGGUGAAAGCCCAGAGCUCAACUCUGGAAUUGCCUUUUAGACUGCAUCGCUUGAAUCAUGGAGAGGUCAGUGGAAUUCCGAGUGUAGAGGUGAAAUUCGUAGAUAUUCGGAAGAACACCAGUGGCGAAGGCGGCUGACUGGACAUGUAUUGACGCUGAGGUGCGAAAGCGUGGGGAGCAAAC
RNAcentral lists this ribosomal RNA (694 nucleotides) under uncultured bacterium. Its description in RNAcentral is "bacterial SSU rRNA". It matches the Rfam family "Bacterial small subunit ribosomal RNA", at positions 33 to 773 of the family's 1533-position model. The record is from RNAcentral.